RNAcentral lists this ribosomal RNA (432 nucleotides) under uncultured bacterium. Its description in RNAcentral is "partial 16S ribosomal RNA". It matches the Rfam family "Bacterial small subunit ribosomal RNA", at positions 28 to 507 of the family's 1533-position model. The record is from RNAcentral.
GAUGAACGCUGGCGGUAUGCUUAACACAUGCAAGUCGAACGGUCACUUCGGUGAUAGUGGCGGACGGGUGAGUAACGCGUGAGAAUCUGUCUUCAGGUCGGGGACAACAGUUAGAAAUGACUGCUAAUACCGGAUGUGCCUUUGGGUGAAAGAUUUAUUGCCUGAAAAAGAGCUCGCGUCAGAUUAGCUAGUAGGUGGUGUAAGAGACUACCUAGGCUCCGAACUGUAGCUGGUCUGAGAGGACGAUCAGCCACACUGGAACUGAGACACGGUCCAGACUCCUACGGGAGGCAGCAGUGGGGAAUUUUACGCAAUGGGCGAAAGCCUGACGGAGCAAUACCGCGUGAGGGACGAAGGCGUUUGGGUCGUAAACCUCUUUUCGCAAGGAAGAUGAUGACGGUACUUGAGGAAUAAGCAUCGGCUAACUCUGUG